RNAcentral lists this microRNA precursor (76 nucleotides) under Podarcis lilfordi (Lilford's wall lizard). The record is from RNAcentral. Lineage: Eukaryota; Metazoa; Chordata; Lepidosauria; Squamata; Lacertidae.
UGUGUGUGUGUGUCUGUGUCUGUGUGUGUGUGUGCGCGCGCGCGUGCACACACACACACACACACACACACGCAUA